This 495-nucleotide ribosomal RNA is filed under the name uncultured bacterium. RNAcentral describes it as "partial 16S ribosomal RNA". It matches the Rfam family "Bacterial small subunit ribosomal RNA", at positions 28 to 507 of the family's 1533-position model. The record is from RNAcentral.
GACGAACGCUGGCGGCGUGCCUAAUACAUGCAAGUAGAACGCUGGAGGAGGAGCUUGCUUCUCUGGAUGAGUUGCGAACGGGUGAGUAACGAGUAGGUAACCUGCCUGGUAGUGGGGGAUAACUAUUGGAAACGAUAGCUAAUAACGCAUAAUAUUGACUAUUGCAUGGUAGUCAGUUGAAAGGUGCAGCUGCACCACUACCAGAUGGACCUGCGUUGUAUUAGCUAGUUGGUGGGGUAACGGCUCACCAAGGCGACGAUACAUAGCCGACCUGAGAGGGUGAUCGGCCACACUGGGACUGAGACACGGCCCAGACUCCUACGGGAGGCAGCAGUAGGGAAUCUUCGGCAAUGGACGGAAGUCUGACCGAGCAACGCCGCGUGAGUGAAGAAGGUUUUCGGAUUGUAAAGCUCUGUUGUUAGGGAAGAACGUGUGUGAGAGUGGUAAGCUCACGCUGUGACGGUAUCUUACCAGAAAGGGACGGCUAACUACGUG